CGCUCAUCCAGAGGGGCAGAGGGAUACGGCCCGAUGAAGCCCCGGCAACCCUCCAGCCGGUCUCGUGCGUGAUCACGCAGCGAGGCUCCCGGCUAGGGAAGGUGCCAAAUCCGUCUCACGGCGAGAUGCGUCGUGAGGAAGAUGAGGA
Molecule: non-coding RNA, 148 nt
Filed under: Streptomyces acidiscabies
Lineage: Bacteria; Bacillati; Actinomycetota; Actinomycetes; Kitasatosporales; Streptomycetaceae
Description: SAM-I sequence
Rfam family: SAM riboswitch aptamer (S box leader)
About the family: The SAM riboswitch is found upstream of a number of genes which code for proteins involved in methionine or cysteine biosynthesis in Gram-positive bacteria. The SAM riboswitch acts at the level of transcription termination control.
Source: Rfam by way of RNAcentral